Molecule: ribosomal RNA, 468 nt
Filed under: uncultured bacterium
Lineage: Bacteria
Description: partial 16S ribosomal RNA
Rfam family: Bacterial small subunit ribosomal RNA
Source: RNAcentral
GACGAACGCUGGCGGCGUGCUUAACACAUGCAAGUCGAACGGAAAGGCCCUGCUUUUGUUGGGUGCUCGAUUGGCGAACGGGGGAGUAACACGUGAGUAACCUGCCCUUGACUUUGUGAUAACUUCAGGGAACUGGGGCGAAUACCGGAUAGGAUCUACUGCUGCAUGUGGUGGGUUGGAAAGUUUCGGCGGUUGGGGAUGGACUCGCGGCUUAUCAGCUUGUUGGUGGGGUAGUGGCGUACCAAGGCUUUGACGGGUAGCCGGCCUGAGAGGGUGACCGGCCACAUUGGGACUGAGAUACGGCCCAGACUCCUACGGGAGGCAGCAGUGGGGAAUAUUGCACAAUGGGCGGAAGCCUGAUGCAGCAACGCCGCGUGCGGGAUGACGGCCUUCGGGUUGUAAACCGCUUUCGCCUGUGACGAAGCGUGAGUGACGGUAAUGGGUAAAGAAGCACCGGCUAACUACGUG